RNAcentral lists this ribosomal RNA (253 nucleotides) under uncultured bacterium. RNAcentral describes it as "partial 16S ribosomal RNA". It matches the Rfam family "Bacterial small subunit ribosomal RNA", at positions 524 to 776 of the family's 1533-position model. The record is from RNAcentral.
UACGAAGGGGGCUAGCGUUGCUCGGAAUCACUGGGCGUAAAGCGCACGUAGGCGGAUGUGUCAGUCAGGGGUGAAAUCCCGGAGCUCAACUUCGGAACUGCCUUUGAUACAGCACGUCUUGAGUCCGAUAGAGGUGGGUGGAAUUCCUAGUGUAGAGGUGAAAUUCGUAGAUAUUAGGAAGAACACCAGUGGCGAAGGCGGCUCACUGGUCCGGUACUGACGCUGAGGUGCGAAAGCGUGGGGAGCAAACAGG